This 169-nucleotide ribosomal RNA is filed under the name Williamwhitmania taraxaci. RNAcentral describes it as "16S rRNA. Bacterial SSU". It matches the Rfam family "Bacterial small subunit ribosomal RNA", at positions 1 to 164 of the family's 1533-position model. Lineage: Bacteria; Pseudomonadati; Bacteroidota; Bacteroidia; Bacteroidales; Williamwhitmaniaceae. The record is from RNAcentral.
UUACUAUGAAGAGUUUGAUCCUGGCUCAGGAUGAACGCUAGCGGCAGGCCUAACACAUGCAAGUCGAGGGGCAGCGAGGGUAGCAAUACCUGUCGGCGACCGGCGCACGGGUGAGUAACGCGUAUGCAACCUGCCCCCGUCUGGGGAAUAGCCCGUCGAAAGGCGGAUU